CAGUAGGGAGGAAGGUAGUGUAGUUAACACCUGCAUUAUUUGACGUUACCUACAGAAGAAGCACCGGCUAACUCCGUGCCAGCAGCCGCGGUAAUACGGAGGGUGCGAGCGUUAAUCGGAAUUACUGGGCGUAAAGCGCAUGCAGGCGGCCUGUUAAGUCAGAUGUGAAAGACCCGGGGCGUUAACCUCGGAAUUGCAUUUGAAACUGGCAGGCUAGAGUCUUGUAGAGGGGGGUAGGAAUUUCUAGGUGUAGCGGUGAAAUAGCGUAGAGAUCUGAAGGAAUACCAGUGGCGAAGGCGGCCCCCUGGACAAAGACUGACGCUCAGAUGCGAAAGCGUGGGGAGCAAACAGGAUUAGAUACCCUGGUAG
Molecule: ribosomal RNA, 369 nt
Filed under: uncultured bacterium
Lineage: Bacteria
Description: bacterial SSU rRNA
Rfam family: Bacterial small subunit ribosomal RNA
Source: RNAcentral